Molecule: ribosomal RNA, 424 nt
Filed under: Mesabolivar sp. Br14-55
Lineage: Eukaryota; Metazoa; Arthropoda; Arachnida; Araneae; Pholcidae
Description: partial 16S ribosomal RNA
Source: RNAcentral
UCUUUAAGAAAUAAUUUAAAGUAAAACCUGCUCCAUGAAAUGAUAAAUAGCCGCAAAUUUAUGUGCUAAGGUAGCAUAAUCAUUAGCUUUCUAAUUAAAAGAUAGAAUGAAUGGUUAAACGAAAUAUUAACUGUUUCUUUAUACUAUAACUAAAUUAUAAAAAUAGUCAAAAUUCUAUUAAAUUAAAGAAAGACGACAAGACCCUAUAAACUAAAUUAUUGGCUGGGGUGGCAAAAUAAAAAAACCUUAAUUACUAUAUUCUUACAAAAAAUCUUUUUAAUUUGAAACAGUUACUAUAGGGAUAACAGCGCUACUUUUUUUAAAAGCUCUAAUAAAAAAAAAUCCUACGACCUCGAUGUUGAAUUAUAACCCUUUAACUUAUGAAAAAAUUAUAAAAGGCAGUCUGUUCGACUAUUAAAAAUAU